Molecule: ribosomal RNA, 328 nt
Filed under: uncultured eukaryote
Lineage: Eukaryota
Description: partial 18S ribosomal RNA
Rfam family: Eukaryotic small subunit ribosomal RNA
Source: RNAcentral
CCCUUAGAUGUCCUGGGCCGCACGCGCGUUACACUGAUGCAUUCAACGAGCUUAUAACCUUGGCCGAGAGGCCUGGGCAAUCUUGUUAACGUGCAUCGUGAUAGGGAUAGAUUAUUGAAAUUAUUAAUCUUGAACGAGGAAUUCCUAGUAAACGCCGAUCAUCAAUCUGCAUUGAUUACGUCCCUGCCCUUUGUACACACCGCCCGUCGCACCUACCGAUUGGAUGGUCCGGUGAAGCCUCGGGAUUGUGGUUCUUGCCGCUUUAUUGUGGCGUGACCGCGAGAACUUGUCUAAACCUUAUCAUCUAGAGGAAGGUGAAGUCGUAACA